AUGAACGCUGGCGGCGUGCCUCAUACCUGCCAGUCGAGCGAACAGACGAGGAGCUUGCUCCUCUGACGUUAGCGGCGGACGGGUGAGUAACACGUGGAUAACCUACCUAUAAGACUGGGAUAACUUCGGGAAACCGGAGCUAAUACCGGAUAAUAUAUUGAACCGCAUGGUUCAAUAGUGAAAGACGGUUUUGCUGUCACUUAUAGAUGGAUCCGCGCCGCAUUAGCUAGUUGGUAAGGUAACGGCCUACCAAGGCAACGAUGCGUAGCCGACCUGAGAGGGUGAUCGGCCACACUGGAACUGAGACACGGUCCAGACUCCUACGGGAGGCAGCAGUAGGGAAUCUUCCGCAAUGGGCGAAAGCCUGACGGAGCAACGCCGCGUGAGUGAUGAAGGUCUUCGGAUCGUAAAACUCUGUUAUUAGGGAAGAACAAAUGUGUAAGUAACUAUGCACGUCUUGACGGUACCUAAUCAGAAAGCCACGGCUAACUACGUG
This 496-nucleotide ribosomal RNA is filed under the name uncultured bacterium. RNAcentral describes it as "partial 16S ribosomal RNA". It matches the Rfam family "Bacterial small subunit ribosomal RNA", at positions 29 to 507 of the family's 1533-position model. The record is from RNAcentral.